Small nuclear RNA from Acomys russatus (golden spiny mouse), 104 nucleotides. Lineage: Eukaryota; Metazoa; Chordata; Mammalia; Rodentia; Muridae. The record is from RefSeq and is a predicted model, not a curated record.
UUGCUUCAGCAGCACAUACACUAAGAUUGGAACAAUAUAGACAAGAGUAGCAUGGCCUCUGUGCAAAGACAAUGUGAAAAUUUUGUGAAGUGUUCCAUAUAUUU